GGUAAGGACGGGCAAGAGGCGGGGGGAAGUCGUAGGUGGUGGGCGUUGUCCGGAAUUAAGGGGGGUAAAGGGGGUGUAGGCGGGGAUGUAAGUCAGAUGUGAAAUUCCACGGCUUAACUGUGGCGCUGCAUCUGAAACUAUGUCUCUUGAGUGCUGGAGAGGAAAGCGGAAUUCCAAGUGUAGCGGUGAAAUGCAUAGAUAUUUGGAGGAACACCAGUGGCGAAGGCGGCUUUCUGGACAGUAACUGACGCUGAGGCGCGAAAGCGUGGGGAGCAAACAGGAUUAGAUACCCUGGUAGUC
RNAcentral lists this ribosomal RNA (300 nucleotides) under uncultured Bacillus sp. RNAcentral's name for it is "bacterial SSU rRNA". It matches the Rfam family "Bacterial small subunit ribosomal RNA", at positions 496 to 795 of the family's 1533-position model. Lineage: Bacteria; Bacillati; Bacillota; Bacilli; Caryophanales; Bacillaceae. The record is from RNAcentral.